RNAcentral lists this ribosomal RNA (253 nucleotides) under uncultured bacterium. Its description in RNAcentral is "partial 16S ribosomal RNA". It matches the Rfam family "Bacterial small subunit ribosomal RNA", at positions 524 to 776 of the family's 1533-position model. The record is from RNAcentral.
UACGUAGGGGGCUAGCGUUGUCCGGAAUCAUUGGGCGUAAAGAGCGCGUAGGCGGCCAGAUAAGUCCGGUGUGAAAGUCAAAGGCUCAACCUUUGAAUGCCGCUGGAAACUGUCUGGCUAGAGUCCGGGAGGGGCGAGUGGAAUUCCUGGUGUAGCGGUGAAAUGCGCAGAUAUCAGGAGGAACACCAAUAGCGAAGGCAGCUCGCUGGGACGGUAUUGACGCUAAGGCGCGAAAGCGUGGGGAGCAAACAGG